AGCCACCGCGGUAAUUCCAGCUCCAAUAGCGUAUAUUAAAGUUGUUGCAGUUAAAGACACUGUUAGAUGAAUUUCGGGGUUAGUAGGUUGGUCAUGCCUCUUGGUAUGUACUGGUCUCACUGAUUCCUCCUUCCUGAUGAGCCGUAAUGCCAUUAAUUUGGUGUUGCGGGGAAUUUGGACUGUUACUUUGAAAAAAUUAGAGUGUUUAAAGCAAGCUAACGCUUGAAUACAUUAGCAUGGAAUAAUGAAAUAGGACGUUCGAUCCUAUUUUGUUGGUUUCUAGGAUUGACGUAAUGAUUAAUAGGGAUAGUUGGGGGCAUUAGUAUUCAAUUGUCAGAUGUGAAAUUCUUGGAUUUAUUGAAGACUAACUACUGCGAAAGCAUUUGCCAAGGAUGUUUUCAUUAAUCAAGAACGAAAGUUAGGGGAUCGAAGACGAUCAGAUACCGUGCGUAGUCUUAACCAUAAACUAUGCCGAUUUGGGAUCGGAUGAUGUUAAUUUUUUAAUGACUCA
RNAcentral lists this ribosomal RNA (511 nucleotides) under Glomus sp. Glo8. Its description in RNAcentral is "SSU rRNA". It matches the Rfam family "Eukaryotic small subunit ribosomal RNA", at positions 569 to 1078 of the family's 1831-position model. The record is from RNAcentral. Lineage: Eukaryota; Fungi; Glomeromycota; Glomeromycetes; Glomerales; Glomeraceae.